RNAcentral lists this transfer RNA (33 nucleotides) under Begonia sp. EDNA14_0037200. RNAcentral describes it as "partial tRNA-Leu". Lineage: Eukaryota; Viridiplantae; Streptophyta; Magnoliopsida; Cucurbitales; Begoniaceae. The record is from RNAcentral.
GCCGCUAUGGUGAAAUCGGUAAACCCGCUGCUU